RNAcentral lists this ribosomal RNA (1240 nucleotides) under metagenome. Its description in RNAcentral is "bacterial SSU rRNA". It matches the Rfam family "Bacterial small subunit ribosomal RNA", at positions 248 to 1498 of the family's 1533-position model. The record is from RNAcentral.
GUUGGUGAGGUAACGGCUCACCAAGACAACGAUGUCUAGGGGUUCUGAGAGGAUUGUCCCCCACACUGGUACUGAGACACGGACCAGACUCCUACGGGAGGCAGCAGUGAGGAAUAUUGGUCAAUGGGCGAGAGCCUGAACCAGCCAUGCCGCGUGCAGGAUGAAUGCGCUAUGCGUUGUAAACUGCUUUUCUACAGGAAGAAACCUACCCUCGUGAGGGUAGCUGCCGGUACUGUAGGAAUAAGCACCGGCUAACUCCGUGCCAGCAGCCGCGGUAAUACGGAGGGUGCAAGCGUUAUCCGGAUUUAUUGGGUUUAAAGGGUGCGUAGGCGGAAUAAUAAGUCAGUGGUGAAAUCCUGCGGCUCAACCGUAGAACUGCCAUUGAUACUGUUAUUCUUGAAUAUAGUUGAGGUAGGCGGAAUGUGUAAUGUAGCGGUGAAAUGCUUAGAUAUUACACAGAACACCGAUUGCGAAGGCAGCUUGCUAAACUAUUAUUGACGCUGAUGCACGAAAGCGUGGGGAGCGAACAGGAUUAGAUACCCUGGUAGUCCACGCUGUAAACGAUGAUCACUCGUUGUUUGCGAUAUAUUGUAAGCGACUGAGCGAAAGCAUUAAGUGAUCCACCUGGGGAGUACGUUCGCAAGAAUGAAACUCAAAGGAAUUGACGGGGGCCCGCACAAGCGGAGGAACAUGUGGUUUAAUUCGAUGAUACGCGAGGAACCUUACCUGGGUUUAAAUGUAGGUUGCAUGAGUGGGAAACUACUCUUUCCUUCGGGACUACUUACAAGGUGCUGCAUGGUUGUCGUCAGCUCGUGCCGUGAGGUGUCGGGUUAAGUCCCAUAACGAGCGCAACCCCUAUCGUUAGUUGCCAGCAAGUAAAGUUGGGGACUCUAACGAGACUGCCGGUGUAAACCGAGAGGAAGGUGGGGAUGACGUCAAAUCAGCACGGCCCUUAUAUCCAGGGCUACACACGUGUUACAAUGGUCGAUACAAAGAGCAGCCACUUGGUGACAAGGCGCUAAUCUCAAAAGUCGAUCACAGUUCGGAUCGAAGUCUGCAACUCGACUUCGCGAAGUUGGAUUCGCUAGUAAUCGCGCAUCAGCCACGGCGCGGUGAAUACGUUCCCGGGCCUUGUACACACCGCCCGUCAAGCCAUGGAAGCUGGGGGUGCCUGAAGUCCGUAACCGUAAGGAGCGGCCUAAGGUAAAACUAGUGACUGGGGCUAAGUCGUAACAAGGUA